This is a non-coding RNA of Potamilus streckersoni, 72 nucleotides long. The record is from the annotation of a GenBank genome assembly. NCBI's taxonomy places the organism in Eukaryota, Metazoa, Mollusca, Bivalvia, Unionida, Unionidae.
UCUUGUGGCCUAGUGGUUAGAGUGUCUGCCUUGGAUGCGGGAGGCUGUGGGUUCGAUCCCUGGUUGAGUCAU